AUUGAACGCUGGCGGCAGGCCUAACACAUGCAAGUCGAGCGGAUGAAGGGAGCUUGCUCCUGGAUUCAGUGGCGGACGGGUGAGUAAUGCCUAGGAAUCUGCCUGGUAGUGGGGGAUAACGUCCGGAAACGGGCGCUAAUACCGCAUACGUCCUGAGGGAGAAAGGGGGGGAUCUUCGGACCUCACGCUAUCAGAUGAGCCUAGGUCGGAUUAGCUAGUUGGUGGGGUAAAGGCCUACCAAGGCGACGAUCCGUAACUGGUCUGAGAGGGUGAUCAGUCACACUGGAACUGAGACACGGUCCAGACUCCUACGGGAGGCAGCAGUGGGGAAUAUUGGACAAUGGGCGAAAGCCUGAUCCAGCCAUGCCGCGUGUGUGAAGAAGGUCUUCGGAUUGUAAAGCACUUUUAGUUGGGAGGAAGAGCAGUGAGUUAAAACCUUGCUGUUUUGACGUUACCAAAAGAGUAAGCAACGGCUAACUUCGUG
This 484-nucleotide ribosomal RNA is filed under the name uncultured bacterium. RNAcentral describes it as "partial 16S ribosomal RNA". It matches the Rfam family "Bacterial small subunit ribosomal RNA", at positions 30 to 507 of the family's 1533-position model. The record is from RNAcentral.